CGUUAUUCGGAAUCACUGGGCUUAAAGCGCGUGUAGGCGGGCCGCCACGUCAGUCGCUGAAUUCGCCCGGCUCAACCGGGGAAGUGGCACUGAUACGAGCGGCCUGGAGGGAGGUAGGGGGGGCUGGAACUUCCGGUGGAGCGGUGAAAUGCGUUGAGAUCGGAAGGAACGCCCGUGGCGAAAGCGAGCCCCUGGACCUUUUCUGACGCUGAGACGCGAGAGCUAG
This 226-nucleotide ribosomal RNA is filed under the name uncultured bacterium. RNAcentral's name for it is "partial 16S ribosomal RNA". It matches the Rfam family "Bacterial small subunit ribosomal RNA", at positions 539 to 763 of the family's 1533-position model. The record is from RNAcentral.